GACGAACCGAGCGAACGUUAUUCGGAAUCACUGGGCUUAAAGGGCGCGUAGGCGGCCGCCUAAGUCAGACGUGAAAUCCCUCGGCUCAACCGGGGAACUGCGUCUGAUACUGGGUGGCUUGAAUCCGGGAGAGGGAUGCGGAAUUCCAGGUGUAGCGGUGAAAUGCGUAGAUAUCUGGAGGAACACCGGUGGCGAAGGCGGCAUCCUGGACCGGCAUUGACGCUGAGGCGCGAAAGCCAGGGGAGCAAACGGG
RNAcentral lists this ribosomal RNA (253 nucleotides) under uncultured bacterium. Its description in RNAcentral is "partial 16S ribosomal RNA". It matches the Rfam family "Bacterial small subunit ribosomal RNA", at positions 524 to 776 of the family's 1533-position model. The record is from RNAcentral.